GGGAUUGUGGCUCAGCGGUAGAGUGCUUGCCUGAUAAGUGUGAGGUCCUGGGUUCAAUCCUUAGCACCA
RNAcentral lists this transfer RNA (69 nucleotides) under Ictidomys tridecemlineatus (thirteen-lined ground squirrel). Its description in RNAcentral is "Spermophilus tridecemlineatus (thirteen-lined ground squirrel) tRNA". It matches the Rfam family "tRNA". Rfam says of the family: Transfer RNA (tRNA) molecules are approximately 80 nucleotides in length. Their secondary structure includes four short double-helical elements and three loops (D, anti-codon, and T loops). Further hydrogen bonds mediate the characteristic L-shaped molecular structure. tRNAs have two regions of fundamental functional importance: the anti-codon, which is responsible for specific mRNA codon recognition, and the 3' end, to which the tRNAs corresponding amino acid is attached (by aminoacyl-tRNA synthetases). tRNAs cope with the degeneracy of the genetic code in two manners: having more than one tRNA (with a specific anti-codon) for a particular amino acid; and 'wobble' base-pairing, i.e. permitting non-standard base-pairing at the 3rd anti-codon position. The record is from Rfam by way of RNAcentral. Lineage: Eukaryota; Metazoa; Chordata; Mammalia; Rodentia; Sciuridae.